Molecule: small nuclear RNA, 68 nt
Filed under: Carlito syrichta (Philippine tarsier)
Lineage: Eukaryota; Metazoa; Chordata; Mammalia; Primates; Tarsiidae
Description: U5 spliceosomal RNA (ENSTSYG00000025087.2)
Rfam family: U5 spliceosomal RNA
About the family: U5 RNA is a component of both types of known spliceosome. The precise function of this molecule is unknown, though it is known that the 5' loop is required for splice site selection and p220 binding, and that both the 3' stem-loop and the Sm site are important for Sm protein binding and cap methylation.
Source: RNAcentral
UGAUUUCUCUUCAGAUUGUAUAAAUAUUUUGCCUUUUACUAAAGAUUUCUGUGGAGAGAAAAAGCUAA